RNAcentral lists this long non-coding RNA (1315 nucleotides) under Capra hircus (goat). RNAcentral describes it as "lncRNA (ENSCHIG00010012682.1)". Lineage: Eukaryota; Metazoa; Chordata; Mammalia; Artiodactyla; Bovidae. The record is from RNAcentral.
AUGAUAAUUUAUCCAGGUUCCUCCUUUCUUAGUGAAGGUCUGGGAUGCAGGCACAUGUUAAUUGUCCCAUCAUGGCAACUUUCAAAUCCACUCUGUAAUAUGGUACAGUGUGGGCUUUAUUUAUUAUUUAUUGCUGGUGUUAUUGAAGGUAAUGACAACAUGGUUGAUUGUCAUUGUUACUGGGGAUACAUCAUUAUACCCUUCUCUAGGAGGCAGGUGUUAAAACCCUGGAAUUCCAUUUCAGGCCUUGUUGGGAGUUGGGUAUGGCUGAGAACUCCCAGACAUUGGAGAUGUGCCUCUCGCAGGAGGCAGAGUGCUGCAGAGGUUAACUGAGUGCGCUCUGAAACCAGACUGCAAUUCAAAACCUGCCUUCCGAGGCUGGCUCUCACGCUUGCCUGCUGUGAGGCCACGGGCAAAUCACUUGAACUCCCUGUGUGUGUUUCCCCAUCUGUUAAAUUGGGGUGAUCACAGUACCGGCCUCAUACGGUUAUACGACAAUUAAAUGCAUGUAAAGCAUUCACAACAGUGCUCGACAGACAGUGGCAUGUAUACUCAAUAAUGCCUGUCAUUAUUAUUGCUCAGCCUCAUACAAAGUGGAUUCUUGAAGGGACAAUCAGCGUGAUGCUCGGAGGACACUUAUUCAAUUAAUGCAACUGUCUUCCUGUAUUUAAAUAUCUCUGAAGGUCAUUUAUGUGAAUUUAGUUUACAAAUUCUUCCUGAGUGCAGCACGUGCAUUCUAAAUAUCUGAGUAGUUUUUUUUUUACUAAAAUAAUUUUGUUCACAUUUAAUGUAAUAUAUGGUACAUACAAAAGGGUAUAGGUUUGUAUCCGGUAUGUAAAUUUAAAGCAUCUGUGUGCUUUCCCAUCCGAUUUUCUGGUCUGUCCUCCAAAAGUGACCACUAUCCUGAAUCUCGUGUUUAUUGCCCCUUUGCUUAAAAAAAAAANNNNNNNNNNNNNNNNNNNNNNNNNNNNNNNNNNNNNNNNNNNNNNNNNNNNNNNNNGUGUAUAGCCUGAUUAUUAUAUUUUUUAGAAAGUAUGCACUUAUGUAACUACACCUAGUUCAAGAUAUGACCUAUUACUGAUACUCUAACAGUUUCUCUGACAUCCCUUCUCACCCUCUUUCACCAUAAGGUAACCACUGUUCUGAAUCAUGUCACCAGAAGCUGUAUGUAUUCUUAUGUCUGGGUUUCCCUUGUGGCUCAGACAGUAAAGAAUCUGCCUGCAAUACGGGAGGCCCAGAUUUGAUCCCUGGGUUGGGAAAAUCCCCUGGAGAAGGGACUGGUAACCCACUCCAGUAUUCCUGCCUGGAGAAUCCC